UAAGGAAAAUUUGUUGAAUUUUCAAGAAAUUGGUGACUAAAGGUGGUGAGCCCUCGGAUAAGGGCAAAGGUAUUGCACCCGAGGAUCGAGACUAGGAGUGUUGUAAAUUCCCGUCAAAGCUAGGUAGUAUUAUGUUAGCCACGUUAUGCUGUCAAAAUUUUAUUGAUUGGUCGGUUAUUUAAUUAGCCACUGCAGUAGGCGGGUUUUCGUGGAUCAGCCUA
This is a non-coding RNA of Theobroma cacao (cacao), 221 nucleotides long. Lineage: Eukaryota; Viridiplantae; Streptophyta; Magnoliopsida; Malvales; Malvaceae. The record is from RefSeq and is a predicted model, not a curated record.